AGCGAACGCUGGCGGCAGGCUUAACACAUGCAAGUCAAGCGGGCACUUCGGUGUCAGCGGCAGACGGGUGAGUAACACGUGGGAACGUACCCUUUGGUUCGGAAUAACGCUGGGAAACUAGCGCUAAUACCGGAUACGCCCUUUUGGGGAAAGGCUUGCUGCCGAAGGAUCGGCCCGCGUCUGAUUAGCUAGUUGGUGGGGUAAUGGCCUACCAAGGCGACGAUCAGUAGCUGGUCUGAGAGGAUGAUCAGCCACACUGGGACUGAGACACGGCCCAGACUCCUACGGGAGGCAGCAGUGGGGAAUAUUGGACAAUGGGCGCAAGCCUGAUCCAGCCAUGCCGCGUGAGUGAUGAAGGCCUUAGGGUUGUAAAGCUCUUUUGUCCGGGACGAUAAUGACGGUACCGGAAGAAUAAGCCCCGGCUAACUUCGUG
Molecule: ribosomal RNA, 433 nt
Filed under: uncultured bacterium
Lineage: Bacteria
Description: partial 16S ribosomal RNA
Rfam family: Bacterial small subunit ribosomal RNA
Source: RNAcentral